GAUGAACGCUGGCGGCGUGCCUAAUACAUGCAAGUCGAGCGAACGGACGAGAAGCUUGCUUUUCUGAUGUUAGCGGCGGACGGGUGAGUAACACGUGGAUAACCUACCUAUAAGACUGGGAUAACUUCGGGAAACCGGAGCUAAUACCGGAUAAUAUUUUGAACCGCAUGGUUCAAAAGUGAAAGACGGUCUUGCUGUCACUUAUAGAUGGAUCCGCGCUGCAUUAGCUAGUUGGUAAGGUAACGGCUUACCAAGGCAACGAUGCAUAGCCGACCUGAGAGGGUGAUCGGCCACGCUGGAACUGAGACACGGUCCAGACUCCUACGGGAGGCAGCAGUAGGGAAUCUUCCGUAAUGGGCGAAAGCCUGACGGAGCAACGCCGCGUGAGUGAUGAAGGUCUUCGGAUCGUAAAACUCUGUUAUUAGGGAAGAACAUAUGUGUAAGUAACUGUGCACAUCUUGACGGUACCUAAUCAGAAAGCCACGGCUAACUACGUG
RNAcentral lists this ribosomal RNA (497 nucleotides) under uncultured bacterium. RNAcentral's name for it is "partial 16S ribosomal RNA". It matches the Rfam family "Bacterial small subunit ribosomal RNA", at positions 28 to 507 of the family's 1533-position model. The record is from RNAcentral.